RNAcentral lists this ribosomal RNA (1795 nucleotides) under human gut metagenome. RNAcentral describes it as "bacterial LSU rRNA". It matches the Rfam family "Bacterial large subunit ribosomal RNA", at positions 208 to 2090 of the family's 2925-position model. The record is from RNAcentral.
AGGGCGAGGAAGAGACAUCAACCGAGAUUCCGCAAGUAGUGGCGAGCGAACGCGGAAGAGGCCAAACCGAGGGAUUUAUUCCUCGGGGUUGCGGACAGUCAUUUAGCGGAAGUUAUCUAGGAGAAGGGUCUGGGAAGGCCCGCCACAGAGGGUGAGAGCCCCGUAUCCGAAAGAGAAGGCCGUGCGACUGAAUCCAGAGUACCGCGGGACACGUGAAACCCCGUGGGAAACAGGGGGGACCACCCUCCAAGCCUAAAUACUACCUGAUGACCGAUAGAGGAGCAGUACCGUGAGGGAAAGGUGAAAAGGACCCCGGGAGGGGAGUGAAAGAGAACCUGAAACCUUGUGCUUACAAGCUGUCAAAGCACGUUAACGUGUGAUGGCGUACUUUUUGUAGAACGGUCCGGCGAGUUAUAGUAACGAGCGAGCUUAAGGCAUUCAGUGCCGGAGGCGAAGCGAGAGCGAGUCUGAAUAGGGCGUAAAGUUCGUUGCCAUAGACCCGAAACCGGGUGACCUACCCAUGAGCAGGUUGAAGUGGGGGUGAAACCCCAUGGAGGACCGAACCGACCCCCGUUGCAAUGGUGGCGGAUGACUUGUGGGUAGCGGUGAAAUUCCAAUCGAACUCGGAGAUAGCUGGUUCUCCCCGAAAUAGCUUUAGGGCUAGCGUUAUGUUAGAUUACCGGAGGUAAAGCACUGAAUGGUAGCGGGGCCGAUAAGGUUACCAACGCCUAUCAAACUAAGAAUGCCGGCUAAUUGAUGCAUAGCAGUCAGACAGUGUGAGAUAAGUUUCAUUGUCAAAAGGGAAACAGCCCAGACCUACAGCUAAGGUCCCGAAUAGAUGCUGAGUGGAAAACGAUGUGGAGUUGCGAAAACAACCAGGAUUGUGGGCUUAAAGCAGCCACUCAUUAAAAGAGUGCGUAAUAGCUCACUGGUCGAGUGACUCUGCGCGGAAAAUGUAACGGGGCUAAGCAUCUACCGAAAGCUUAGGAUUGUCGUAAGACAGUGGUAGGGGAGCGUUCCAUGUGGGGUGAAGUCGCAGCGGAAGCAGCGGUGGACUGCAUGGAAGUGAGAAUGCCGGAAUGAGUAGCGAGAAUUAUGUGGGAAUCAUAAUGGCCGAAAAUCUAAGGUUUCUUGGGGAAGGUUCGUCCGCCCAAGGUAAGCCGGGAGCUAAGGCGAGGCCGAAAGGCGUAGUCGAUGCACAUACGGUAGAAAUUCCGUAGCCACCGAACUUUAAGUCAGAGGGACACUUUUGGAUAGCGGAACCCGGGCGUUGGUUGACCCGGGCGAAAGGGAGCGAAAAUAUAGUAGCGAAGUCCGCGAUGCUGAGAGGCGAGAAAAGCUCUGAUGGAUACUAAGGUGCCCGUACCGCAAACCGACACAGGUAGAUGAGGAGAGAAUCCUAAGGCCAACGGGAGAAGGGUUGUUAAGGAACUCGGCAAGUUGACCCCGUAACUUCGGAAUAAGGGGAGCCUCGCAAGAGGCCGCAGUGAAAAGGCCCAAGCAACUGUUUACCAAAAACACAGGUCUAUGCUAAAUCGAAAGAUGACGUAUAUGGGCUGACGCCUGCCCGGUGCCGGAAGGUUAAGAGGAGAUGUCAGCGCAAGCGAAGCAUUGAAUUGAAGCCCCGGUAAACGGCGGCCGUAACUAUAACGGUCCUAAGGUAGCGAAAUUCCUUGUCAGGUAAGUUCUGACCCGCACGAAAGGCGUAAUGAUUUGGGCACUGUCUCAACAGCCCGCCCGGCGAAAUUGUAGUACUGGUGAAGAUACCAGUUACCCGCAACUAGACGGGAAGACC